AAACAAGAGAUGCCUUUGUAUUAUCUAGAGAUGCCCAGGCAUAGACCAAUCUCAGAGCUGGGCAUGUCCUACAUACUGCCAGCUCCACAAAUAUUUGAGGAAGAGAAGUGAAGGACAACUGAAGAGAAAGACAGUUCCAAUGUUUCCUGAGGGGAGCUGAAUUGCUGAAAGUUUGUCAUUAUCUCAGUGUCAACUGCUGGGGUGGCUGAAUUUUAGCAUAAGUCAUGAUAUGUGGUGGUUUCAAGUGGCUGUGGCAGACCCCUGGGCUAACAGGCCAAGGGAAGAACCUCAAUGGCACCCACUGGGGUCUGAUCAGCAUGCCUGGGACCAGGUCAGAACAAUGGCCCCCACCAAUGUCUCAGUCUCCAGAGAGGUCCCUCAUCUCACCAAGAUGCCCCCAGAGCCCACCAGGUGAGUCUUGUUUCACCAAAGGACUGUCAGCCUUCUCUCUGGUGAUUUUAGGUUGCUGCAAUGAUUGAGUUUGUGAGUGGGCCCUUUAAGACCCUAGACUUUCUGGGGGUAUCCUUGCUGCAGUUAAUAGCUAGCGAAGCGAGACAGUAAGACCCUCGUUUCAGUUGGGCUGAGUCUGAAGUAUGGUUUUAGCAGUGUCGGCUCCCACUCUGGACCUCAAUCCUCCAGGAAGGGCUGCGUACCUUAGGGUGUCUCCUACCUGGCCAGCUGAGAAGCUCCACUGCUCCCAAAGGUGGCUUUUUUCCUCUCCAGCAGGAAUUUCUGCCUCUUAGGCCUUAGUCAGGACUGUCCCUUGUUGUGGGGGUUCUUUUUAUCCAGUUUUCAGUUUUCUCUCCGGGGUAAUUUUUCCAAAAAUAGUUGUAACCUGGUUGUGUUUGUGGGAGGAGAUCUGCUUACAAUGCCAUCUUGACGAGAUCUCUACUAAAGAUAGUGUUUUAUCAAGUGUAUUUUAAAUGUGAGAAUCGGGAUUUUAGUUAUCAGAAAUGACUGCCAUUAAAGUACGUCAUAUUCAUCCAAAGUUUUCUUGAUUAUUUACUGAAGCACAUUAUUUUAAUCAUUCCCUUUGAAUCACUUUUAC
Molecule: long non-coding RNA, 1048 nt
Filed under: Equus caballus (horse)
Lineage: Eukaryota; Metazoa; Chordata; Mammalia; Perissodactyla; Equidae
Description: lncRNA (ENSECAG00000049781.1)
Source: RNAcentral